This 499-nucleotide ribosomal RNA is filed under the name uncultured bacterium. RNAcentral describes it as "bacterial SSU rRNA". It matches the Rfam family "Bacterial small subunit ribosomal RNA", at positions 903 to 1397 of the family's 1533-position model. The record is from RNAcentral.
AAAUGAAUAGACGGGGGUCCGCACAAGCGGUGGAACAUGUGGUUUAAUUCGACACUACGCGAGGAACCUUACCUGGGCUUGACAUGUAAUUGUUACUGAUGGAAACAUUGGGUCUUAUGGGAAACCAUAAGCUGUUACACAGGUGCUGCAUGGCUGUCGUCAGCUCGUGUCGUGAGAUGUUGGGUUAAGUCCUUUAACGAGCGCAACCCUUGCCGUUAGUUGCUAUCGCGAAAGCGAGCACUCUAGCGGGACUGCCUGGGAAACCAGGAGGAAGGUGGGGAUGACGUCAAGUCCGCAUGGCCCUUAUGUCCAGGGCUACACACGUGUUACAAUGGUGAGUACAAACGGAAGCAAGGCCGCGAGGUGGAGCAAACCUGAUAAAACUCAUCUAAGUUCGGAUCGAAGUCUGCAACCCGACUUCGUGAAGUUGAAAUCGCUAGUAAUCGCGCAUCAGAACGGCGCGGUGAAUACGUUCUCGGACCUUGUACACACCGCCCGU